RNAcentral lists this ribosomal RNA (327 nucleotides) under uncultured eukaryote. RNAcentral's name for it is "partial 18S ribosomal RNA". It matches the Rfam family "Eukaryotic small subunit ribosomal RNA", at positions 1470 to 1796 of the family's 1831-position model. The record is from RNAcentral.
CCCUUAGAUGUUCUGGGCCGCACACGCGCUACACUGAAGGAGGCAGCGUGUACUCCUGGAUCGAAAGAUUUGGGUAACCCGCGAAUCUCCUUCGUGCUAGGGAUUGAGGUUUGCAAUUAUCCUUCAUGAACGAGGAAUUCCCAGUAAGUGCAAGUCAUAAGCUUGCGCUGACUACGUCCCUGCCCUUUGUACACACCGCCCGUCGCUACUACCGAUUGAAUGAUUUAGUGAGGACUUCGGACUGGGACCGAUGCGGCUUUCGGGCUGCGUCCGUAUUCUGGAAAGAUGUCCAAACUGUAUCAUUUAGAGGAAGUAAAAGUCGUANCA